RNAcentral lists this ribosomal RNA (497 nucleotides) under uncultured bacterium. RNAcentral describes it as "partial 16S ribosomal RNA". It matches the Rfam family "Bacterial small subunit ribosomal RNA", at positions 28 to 507 of the family's 1533-position model. The record is from RNAcentral.
GAUGAACGCUGGCGGCGUGCCUAAUACGUGCAAGUCGAGCGAACGGACGAGAAGCUUGCUUCUCUGAUGUUAGCGGCGGACGGGUGAGUAACACGUGGAUAACCUACCUAUAAGACUGGGAUAACUUCGGGAAACCGUAGCUAAUACCGUAUAAUAUUUUGAACCGCAUGGUUCAAAAGUGAAAGACGGUCUUGCUGUCACUUAUAGAUGGAUCCGCGCUGCAUUAGCUAGUUGGUAAGGUAACGGCUUACCAAGGCAACGAUGCAUAGCCGACCUGAGAGGGUGAUCGGCCACACUGGAACUGAAACACGGUCCAGACUCCUACGGGAGGCAGCAGUAGGGAAUCUUCCGCAAUGGGCGAAAGCCUGACGGAGCAACGCCGCGUGAGUGAUGAAGGUCUUCGGAUCGUAAAACUCUGUUAUUAGGGAAGAACAUAUGUGUAAGUAACUGUGCACAUCUUGACGGUACCUAAUCAGAAAGCCACGGCUAACUACGUG